UGGGGAAUUUUGGACAAUGGGCGCAAGCCUGAUCCAGCCAUGCCGCGUGAGUGAAGAAGGCCUUCGGGUUGUAAAGCUCUUUCGGCGGGGACGAAACGGGUCGUGACAACACCACGGACUAAUGACGGUACCCGCAUAAGAAGCACCGGCUAACUACGUGCCAGCAGCCGCGGUAAUACGUAGGGUGCAGGCGUUAAUCGGAAUUACUGGGCGUAAAGCGUGCGCAGGCGGUUUGUUAAGACAGGUGUGAAAUCCCCGGGCUUAACCUGGGAAUUGCGCUUGUAACUGGCAGGCUAGAGUGUGGCAGAGGGGGGUGGAAUUCCACGUGUAGCAGUGAAAUGCGUAGAUAUGUGGAGGAACACCGAUGGCGAAGGCAGCCCCCUGGGUUAACACUGACGCUCAUGCACGAAAGCGUGGGGAGCAAACAGGAUUAGAUACCCACGUAGUCCCUGAGCGGGCUGGCAAGGCGCAU
RNAcentral lists this ribosomal RNA (472 nucleotides) under uncultured bacterium. RNAcentral's name for it is "bacterial SSU rRNA". It matches the Rfam family "Bacterial small subunit ribosomal RNA", at positions 355 to 825 of the family's 1533-position model. The record is from RNAcentral.